RNAcentral lists this long non-coding RNA (307 nucleotides) under Struthio camelus australis. RNAcentral's name for it is "lncRNA (ENSSCUG00000010307.1)". The record is from RNAcentral. Lineage: Eukaryota; Metazoa; Chordata; Aves; Struthioniformes; Struthionidae.
AGCGAGCCUCCCCUCUCGCGUCUGCCAGCAGGAGACGGCGCGCUGCCAGCAGCCCUGGUGGCUUUCUGCAGACCGCGUCAGAGCGGGUAGUCACACCGCACCGGCAGGCAACGGAUCACCACCGGAUACCACCCGCGGGACAAGAGACAAGGGCCGGGAAAUCACUGAUGGGAUUAAGGCCAAGGAGUUGGAAAGGCCCAUUGUGGAAGAUGAAACUACAAGCAAAAAGAUAAAAAUAACAAAUUCACGCCAGCAACCCAUGAACUAUUGGACGCUUACCUCGUUUAAGACAUCAGAUAUUAAAUGA